GAUUCAUGGAGUGCAGGAAGACCUUGCCUUAUCUUAAAGGAAAGAUCGACAGGAAGCUUCAGGUUUCGAAGCCCUUGAUUCACUGGAACCACGGGUUCAAAUCCGAAAGGGUCAAAUGAGCCCUUUGUGCAUCGGAGACAGGACAGCUCCGUGUUCCAGUGACGACCUGGGAACGUGACAUGAGGAACCUGGACUGCCUGACGUGACUGCACGGCACCUGGAAGGAGAGAUGCAGAUCAUGUAAAACAUUGCCCCUGUGAUCCUGCAGAACAGCGACACAACAGCAGAGCUUUGCAAGGAGAAGAGAAAACUCUAAGUAAGUAAGUUCAAUGGAGAGAUCAAAGCCAAACCUUCUCCUUCAUGACUUCCUUGUUAGAAUUUUUUUUCUUUCUUCUACUUCUUUUCCAUAAUCAGAGACUUGAAUCCCUUUUAGUUUCUAUUCAGGCUCAAGAUCAAA
Mauremys mutica (yellowpond turtle) is the source of this 457-nucleotide long non-coding RNA. RefSeq lists it as uncharacterized. NCBI's taxonomy places the organism in Eukaryota, Metazoa, Chordata, Testudines, Geoemydidae. The record is from RefSeq and is a predicted model, not a curated record. The transcript has 3 exons.